GCAUCUACACAGGUGGUUCCAACAAGCAUCAGGAAAAAUGAACAUUUAUCACGCAACCCACAGGAAGCACAAUGCACUAAACUUCCACAUAACCACCCAGUAAAUGAGAGGACUUCCUAUUCCUAAUCACAGCCUCAUUUUCAACCAUCAUCCUCAUUCUCAAGUAUGAGGAAAUGGAAUUUCCUUGAUCCAGACAGACUCCUAAGGCAAGAUUUCUAGUUCCACCUGUUAAUAACCAGAUGUGUGGUGCUGGUUAUGUCACUUCUCAUCUCUAAGCCUGCAAAGUCGGGGGUAAGACUUGGUUCAUCUCUAAAAUAGGUCUUUAAAUUCUAAUGGAUUUUAUAAGGCACCCUUCAACUUCCAAUUGAGCCUUCCAAUCAUUUAUAUUGCUGUGGCAGUGAGCUUAACCAGUGAACCUCUAAAUAGGCCAUACAGAAUGGGCUCUCUUCCAGUUUGAUACCAGCGAUUUCUUCAACACAGGGAGAAAGUAGCAGAAAAUUGGUAUUAGUGGGAUUUGUAAUUAUCAGGGCAGUUCCUAUUGAAGGUUUUGUUACUGUGUCAUGGCUGAUUAGACCUGUCUACUCUGGUUUUUGGAUAGUCCCCAAGGGCAACUGGGAGGCAAGGGCACAGAAGGGGUAGGAAACAAGAAAAAACAUCAGUGCUUUGGACAGCAGAGCCCCUCAGGAUAAGAAUGAGCUUGAUCAUAGAAAGUAAGAGUUAAAGCCAGCAUAGAAUGCUUAAAGUUACAUUUUACUUCGAGUAAGAGCAGAUAAUCUAGGAUUCAUCUGAAAACAGAAGAGCCUCAAGGUUUUCUGAAGUGGAUUCCGUCAUGGCUCCUCGUGGCUUCUUGGAAUUAAAAAACAUGGCCACUACCAAGGAAAUGAGGAAUAAUUUUAAAGAUGCUUACUUGGAGAAAGAAAGUAUACAUUGAUCUAGAGUGACAGUUCUCCAGCUUAAAAAAAAAAAAAAGUGUUCCUUUUAUGUUGACUCAAAAUUUUAUUUUUGAGACAGGGUCUCACUCCUGCACAGGCUGGAGUACAGUGGUACAAACAUAGCUCACUACAGUCUUGACCUCCUGGGCUCAAGCUAUCCUCCUGCCACAGCCUCCUGAAUAGCUGGGACUACAGGUGCGCAUCACCACACCUGGCUUGUUUUUAAAUUUUUUGUAGAGACAAGGUUCUCACCAUAUUACCCAGGCUGGUCACAAAUUCCUGGAAUCAUGCAAUCCUCCUGCUUCAGCCUCCCAAAAUGUUGGGAUCACAAGUGUAAGCCACUGUGCCAGGCCUCAAAAUACUAAAAUAAAUGACCAAAAAAAAAAAAAAAAAAACAUCAGCUGGUUGCAGUGGCUCACACCUAUAAUCCGAGCACAUUAGGAGGUAGAGGCGGGAGGAUCGCUUGAGCCCAGGAGUUACAGACCAGCCUGAGCAACAAAGACCCCAUCUCUACAAUAAAUACAAAAAUUAGUGGGCUGGGCACGGUGGCUCAUGCCUGUAAUCCCAGCACUUUGGUAGGCCAGCAGGCAGACCACGAGGUCAGGAGUUUGAGACCAGCCUGGCCAGCAUGGUGAAACCCCGUCUCUACUAAAAAUACAAAAAAAAAUUAGCCCGGCAUGGUGGUGCACACCUGUAUUCCCAGCUACUCGGGAGGCUGAGGCAGAAGAAUCACUUGAACCCAGGAGGCGGAGGUUGCAGUGAGCCGAGAUCAUGCCACUGUACUCCAGUCUAGGUGACAGAGCGAGACUCCGUCUCAAAAAAAAAAAAAAAAAGCCAGGCAUGGUGGUGUGUGCCUGUAGUCCCAGCUACUUGAGAGGCUGAUGUGGGAGGAUCACGUGAGCUAGGGAGGCAGAGGUUGCAGUGAGCCAAGAUCAUGCCACUGCACUGCAGCCUGGAUGACAGACUGAGACACUGUCUCCAAAAUUAAAAAAAAAAAAAAAGUUAGUUUAGAAUAUGCUUCUUCCAGUUUCACAUGGCCCACUGGAAAAAAGCUAACAAUUAUCUGUAAGAGGAGUGAGACAAGAUGCUGACUUUGGGGCAGAGUGAAGCAAAUAAGCAGUCUUUUGCAUGACGAGAGACUUGAAGAUACAGAGGAUGGCAGUGCAUUUAGGGUUUAAUUUAGGCUGCAGCUUGGGGAAGAAAAUCAGUGGUCAUCACUGCCUUUUGUCCACACUGUAUCACUAAGCAAAGCUCCUGAGAACAAACUGCUGGGAUAGUCAUGACCCUCUCUUGGAGUGGAUGAAUUCUAGGGACAGGUGCCAUAAGGAAAGGCUGCAACCCCCACAACAGAAAAUACAUAUUUAUUAUAAAAUAAAGUUAGUUUCAUGAAGAGAGUAGAAAAAUAACACUAUGAGCUACUAAAAAAGUUGUGGAACUCAGUCUCCGAGGAUUGGGGUGAGAGGCUUUCACAUCACUCUGGAAACCCACCAACAUGAGGUCAGCAGGGGACUGGUUC
This 2448-nucleotide long non-coding RNA is filed under the name Homo sapiens (human). RNAcentral describes it as "HSALNT0175827". The record is from RNAcentral. Lineage: Eukaryota; Metazoa; Chordata; Mammalia; Primates; Hominidae.